GCUAGCAGCCAUAUCACCCUGAAGCUCACAAUAAGCACCCCAUUGCAGCUAAGCAGGUGUGAGCCUGGUCAGUACCUGGAUGGGAGACCCCCUGGGAACACUAAGGUUGCUGCUGGAA
This 118-nucleotide ribosomal RNA is filed under the name Lepisosteus oculatus (spotted gar). The record is from RNAcentral. Lineage: Eukaryota; Metazoa; Chordata; Actinopteri; Semionotiformes; Lepisosteidae.